CACCUGGUGGUGUUGCUCUUUAUAUGAUUUUAAGUAGUCUUCCAGAGUAAUAUUCCAGUUGGAGCAUUACUCUUAACAGGGCCAUGAGAGAGAGUAAGGUUUGGCUUAUGGUUAAAGUAUCUAAUUUGUAGAGCCCUGCGCGGAUACACAAAUGUGUAUCUGCAUUCAAUCUGCAAAAAUUAUCUGUGGCUAUCCGCAUCCGUGCGUGCGGAUAUCUGCACAUAUCCACGGAUUAGCAGGGCUCUACACUGAGGCCAGGCUGAGGCUCCAAGGCAUUCCCCACCGUCGGAGCCUGGUUGGGGAGAUUGCGUGGGCAGCUGUGGGGAUCCCAUGCGAAGUCCCGGACCUUCCACCUGCCCUCGGCCAGGCAGGAAGCAUGGGGGGCGGGGACAUGGCUGUGGGCUGCUUUCAGCUCCCCACCCUCACACCGUGGGCAGGUGGAGGGUCCACUGCAACUCCCCAUGGCUCCCCAGUUGGGCUCUAUGCUGGCCUGGCCAGGGGAAGGGGAAGACCUGUGGAGCAUGGAGUUGGCCAGGCCAGCAUGGAGGUUUUGAGCCACCAUGGCCAUGGCCAGGCAGUGGUUUUGAGCCACCCCCCCAUCCCCAGCUGGAGUUGGGUUGUGGAGAGUUGUGCUGGCAGCUGUGAGGAGCUGCUGCGAACCCUUCACCUGCCUUGGGUGGGGUGCCUGAGCAGCCUCCGACCUGUGUCCCAGUCCCCCGCCCAGGGCAGAUGGAGGUUCUGUGCUGAGUUCCUCACAGUUGCCUGCCCGUCUUUUACCGUCAGAACCCUGCGCAGAUACAAAAUUUGUAUCCGCAUCUGUGCUGCUAUCCGCAAAAAUGCUCCACGGAUAUAAAGCAGAUACCUGCAGGUUUGCAGGGCUCUGCUAAUUUGAAGUGUGGUGAUCUGAGUUCUGAUCCUAGCUCUGCGCAGACUCCCUGUGUGACCAUAGGAAAGUCUCAGACUUUUCUGGGUUUUGUUUCCUAAUCUAUAAACUUCAGAU
This 1000-nucleotide long non-coding RNA is filed under the name Gopherus agassizii (Agassiz's desert tortoise). RNAcentral describes it as "lncRNA (ENSGAGG00000024216.1)". The record is from RNAcentral. Lineage: Eukaryota; Metazoa; Chordata; Testudines; Testudinidae.